CCCAUCCUCCAAGGCUAAAUACUCCUGACUGACCGAUAGUGAACCAGUACCGUGAGGGAAAGGCGAAAAGAACCCCGGCGAGGGGAGUGAAAAAGAACCUGAAACCGUGUACGUACAAGCAGUGGGAGCACGCUUAGGCGUGUGACUGCGUACCUUUUGUAUAAUGGGUCAGCGACUUAUAUUCUGUAGCAAGGUUAACCGAAUAGGGGAGCCGAAGGGAAACCGAGUCUUAACUGGGCGUUAAGUUGCAGGGUAUAGACCCGAAACCCGGUGAUCUAGCCAUGGGCAGGUUGAAGGUUGGGUAACACUAACUGGAGGACCGAACCGACUAAUGUUGAAAAAUUAGCGGAUGACUUGUGGCUGGGGGUGAAAGGCCAAUCAAACCGGGAGAUAGCUGGUUCUCCCCGAAAGCUAUUUAGGUAGCGCCUCGUGAAUUCAUCUCCGGGGGUAGAGCACUGUUUCGGCAAGGGGGUCAUCCCGACUUACCAACCCGAUGCAAACUGCGAAUACCGGAGAAUGUUAUCACGGGAGACACACGGCGGGUGCUAACGUCCGUCGUGAAGAGGGAAACAACCCAGACCGCCAGCUAAGGUCCCAAAGUCAUGGUUAAGUGGGAAACGAUGUGGGAAGGCCCAGACAGCCAGGAUGUUGGCUUAGAAGCAGCCAUCAUUUAAAGAAAGCGUAAUAGCUCACUGGUCGAGUCGGCCUGCGCGGAAGAUGUAACGGGGCUAAACCAUGCACCGAAGCUGCGGCAGCGACGCUUAUGCGUUGUUGGGUAGGGGAGCGUUCUGUAAGCCUGCGAAGGUGUGCUGUGAGGCAUGCUGGAGGUAUCAGAAGUGCGAAUGCUGACAUAAGUAACGAUAAAGCGGGUGAAAAGCCCGCUCGCCGGAAGACCAAGGGUUCCUGUCCAACGUUAAUCGGGGCAGGGUGAGUCGACCCCUAAGGCGAGGCCGAAAGGCGUAGUCGAUGGGAAACAG
This 977-nucleotide ribosomal RNA is filed under the name Shigella sonnei. Its description in RNAcentral is "partial 23S ribosomal RNA". It matches the Rfam family "Bacterial large subunit ribosomal RNA", at positions 452 to 1428 of the family's 2925-position model. Lineage: Bacteria; Pseudomonadati; Pseudomonadota; Gammaproteobacteria; Enterobacterales; Enterobacteriaceae. The record is from RNAcentral.